RNAcentral lists this ribosomal RNA (278 nucleotides) under uncultured Hirschia sp. Its description in RNAcentral is "partial 16S ribosomal RNA". It matches the Rfam family "Bacterial small subunit ribosomal RNA", at positions 29 to 334 of the family's 1533-position model. Lineage: Bacteria; Pseudomonadati; Pseudomonadota; Alphaproteobacteria; Hyphomonadales; Hyphomonadaceae. The record is from RNAcentral.
AACGAACGCUGGCGGCAGGCUUAACACAUGCAAGUCGAACGACCCCUUCGGGGGGAGUGGCAGACGGGUGAGUAACGCGUGGAAACGUGCCUUUCUCUACGGAAUAGCCCUUGGAAACGAGGUGUAAUACCGUAUACGCCCUUAGGGGGAAAGAUUUAUCGGAGAAAGAUCGGUCCGCGUUAGAUUAGUUUGUUGGUGGGGUAAUGGCCUACCAAGACUACGAUCUAUAGCUGAUUUGAGAGGAUGAUCAGCCACACUGGAACUGAGACACGGUCCAG